UACGGGGGGGGCAAGCGUUGUUCGGAAUUACUGGGCGGAAAGGGCUCGUAGGCGGCCAACUAAGUCAGACGUGAAAUCCCCAGGCUCAACCUGGGAACUGCGUCUGAUACUGGAUGGCUUGAAUCCGGGAGAGGGAUGCAGAAUUCCAGGUGUAGCGGUGAAAUGCGUAGAUAUCUGGAGGAAUACCGGUGGCGAAGGCGGCAUCCUGGACCGGCAUUGACGCUGAGGAGCGAAAGCCAGGGGAGCAAACGGG
RNAcentral lists this ribosomal RNA (253 nucleotides) under uncultured bacterium. RNAcentral describes it as "partial 16S ribosomal RNA". It matches the Rfam family "Bacterial small subunit ribosomal RNA", at positions 524 to 776 of the family's 1533-position model. The record is from RNAcentral.